RNAcentral lists this unclassified non-coding RNA (277 nucleotides) under sea anemone metagenome. Its description in RNAcentral is "partial contains small subunit ribosomal RNA and internal transcribed spacer 1". The stretch from base 1 to 153 matches the Rfam family "Eukaryotic small subunit ribosomal RNA", at positions 1678 to 1831 of the family's 1831-position model. The record is from RNAcentral.
GCUCCUACCGAUUGAGUGAUCCGGUGAAUUAUUCGGACUGACGCAGUGCCCAGCUUCUGGACGUUGCGUUGGAAAGUUUCAUGAACCUUAUCACUUAGAGGAAGGAGAAGUCGUAACAAGGUUUCUGUAGGUGAACCUGCAGAAGGAUCAAGAUAGGAAGGGAGGCGUGUAGGGUAAGAGUGGAGAUCUCGGUGGGCGCCGCAUCAUAAAAAAAAAAAUAAUAAGCAACGUUAUAUGCAGCAUCCUACAUCUAACUAUCUAAUCACUGCCCACAUAU